Molecule: ribosomal RNA, 403 nt
Filed under: uncultured bacterium
Lineage: Bacteria
Description: partial 16S ribosomal RNA
Rfam family: Bacterial small subunit ribosomal RNA
Source: RNAcentral
GACGAACGCUGGCGGCGUGCCUAAUACAUGCAAGUCGAACGCAGUGGGGACGGGUGAGUAACAAGUGGGUAACCUCCCAUCAGAGGGGAUAACACUUGGAAACAGGUGCUAAACCGAUACUGAUGGAUGGACCCGGGGUGCAUUCGGUAGUUGGUGGGGUAACGGCUCACAAAGGCCACGAAUCAUAGCCGGCCUGUGAGGGUGAUCGGCCACACUGGGACUGGGCCACGGCCCAUACUCCUACGGGAGGCAGCAGUAGGGAAUCUUCGGCAAUGGACGAAAGUCUGACCGAGCAACGCCGCGUGAGUGAAGAAGGUUUUCGGUUCGUAAAUCUCUGUUGUUAGAGAGGCGGUAUCUAACCAGAAAGCCACGGCUAACUACGUGCCAGCAGCCGCGGUAAUUC